This 482-nucleotide ribosomal RNA is filed under the name uncultured bacterium. Its description in RNAcentral is "partial 16S ribosomal RNA". It matches the Rfam family "Bacterial small subunit ribosomal RNA", at positions 28 to 507 of the family's 1533-position model. The record is from RNAcentral.
GAUGAACGCUGGCGGCGUGCCUAAUACAUGCAAGUCGAACGCUUCACUUCGGUGAAGAGUGGCGAACGGGUGCGUAAUACAUAAGUAACCUGGCAUCUACAGGGGGAUAACUGAUGGAAACGUCAGCUAAGACCGCAUAGGUGUAGAGAUCGCAUGAACUCUAUAUGAAAAGUGCUACGGGACUGGUAGAUGAUGGACUUAUGGCGCAUUAGCUUGUUGGUAGGGUAACGGCCUACCAAGGCGACGAUGCGUAGCCGACCUGAGAGGGUGACCGGCCACACUGGGACUGAGACACGGCCCAGACUCCUACGGGAGGCAGCAGUAGGGAAUUUUCGGCAAAGGGGGGAACCCUGACCGAGCAACGCCGCGUGAAGGAAGAAGUAAUUCGUUAUGUAAACUUCUGUCAUAGAGGAAGAACGGUGGAUAUAGGGAAUGAUAUCCAAGUGACGGUACUCUAUAAGAAAGCCACGGCUAACUACGUG